CCUUUCCACCCUACCAUUUGGGCAAUUUUCUAAUCUUGCCACGGCUGGCGUGAUGCUGGCUCGGCAGCCGCGUCGACUGACAGUUGAAGGCAUGGGGACGACGAGCGGUGGAGUUGUGGAAAACACUAGCAGGACUGGAGGGUCACAGUUGCAGUUUCCUUCACUAAAACCCCGAGGAGUCUCAUGCUUUCAAAAGCCUCAGGAUGGCUACUGGAGCAUCACAGAUCAAGAACAAUUCUGAUGCUGACACAAAUGAGUUGGAAUAUUGAUGGCUGAGGAACUAAAGAUGAACUCCAGGCGUCAUCGGCGCAUUUAGAUACUGUCAACCCUUCAGAAGUGGCAGUGCUAGACAAACUCAUACUUCACUGCCUCCCCUACCGGGAGUGCACCCUCUAAUGUUGUCAAUUUCCACACUCUCUUCUUCUAGCAAGAAACACACCAUUUGAUUUCAGCCCUACCAGCCUGAGAACUUGGGAAAGGAACGAUUCUACGCAGAUGUGACAACUUAAUAACAUAAGCCAAGGCCUUUCCUCAAACAAAAACAGCCCUACUCUCGUAACCAUCUGUUAUUUGUCCUUUACCCAGCACAUUAAAUUAUAUUUGGUGUCACUCUACCUGGGUACUAAACAGUACCAUCAUCCUUGUUGAUUUUUAUCUUGCACAGUGAGUUUUUUCAGGUCUAAACAAUGCAAAAAUUUUGACAGGUCGCCUGCAACUUAUUUACAUUCUGUUUCCAAUAUUGUCAAAGGUGGCAGCAUCGGUGUAUGUGACAGAUGUGAUUAGAGCUGUUUUUAUGAAUGAUUGAAUGAUUUGGAUCUUUCAUUAAAAACAUCUGCCUGCUACAUAA
Pygocentrus nattereri (red-bellied piranha) is the source of this 847-nucleotide long non-coding RNA. RefSeq lists it as uncharacterized. The transcript has 2 exons. The record is from RefSeq and is a predicted model, not a curated record. NCBI's taxonomy places the organism in Eukaryota, Metazoa, Chordata, Actinopteri, Characiformes, Serrasalmidae.